Molecule: ribosomal RNA, 492 nt
Filed under: uncultured bacterium
Lineage: Bacteria
Description: partial 16S ribosomal RNA
Rfam family: Bacterial small subunit ribosomal RNA
Source: RNAcentral
AGUGAACGCUGGCGGUAGGCCUAACACAUGCAAGUCGAACGGCAGCACAGUAAGAGCUUGCUCUUACGGGUGGCGAGUGGCGGACGGGUGAGGAAUACAUCGGAAUCUACUUUUUCGUAGGGGAUAACGUAGGGAAACUUACGCUAAUACCGCAUACGACCUACGGGUGAAAGCAGGGGAUCUUCGGACCUUGCGCGAUUGAAUGAGCCGAUGUCGGAUUAGCUAGUUGGCGGGGUAAAGGCCCACCAAGGUGACGAUCCGUAGCUGGUCUGAGAGGAUGAUCAGCCACACUGGAACUGAGACACGGUCCAGACUCCUACGGGAGGCAGCAGUGGGGAAUAUUGGACAAUGGGCGCAAGCCUGAUCCAGCCAUACCGCGUGGGUGAAGAAGGCCUUCGGGUUGUAAAGCCCUUUUGUUGGGAAAGAAAAGCAGCAGGUUAAUACCCCGCUGUUCUGACGGUACCCAAAGAAUAAGCACCGGCUAACUUCGUG